UCCGUAGGCGGGCGUCUAAGUCAGUGGUGAAAUCUUACAGCUCAACUGUAAAAUUGCCAUUGAUACUGGAUGUCUUGAAUUAGUGUGAAGUGGUUAGAAUGUGUAGUGUAGCGGUGAAAUGCAUAGAUAUUACACAGAAUACCAAUUGCGAAGGCAGAUCACUAACACUAUAUUGACGCCGAGGGACGAAAGCGUGGGGAGCGAACAGGAUUAGAUACCCUGGUAGUCC
This 229-nucleotide ribosomal RNA is filed under the name uncultured bacterium. RNAcentral's name for it is "partial 16S ribosomal RNA". It matches the Rfam family "Bacterial small subunit ribosomal RNA", at positions 568 to 796 of the family's 1533-position model. The record is from RNAcentral.